RNAcentral lists this ribosomal RNA (855 nucleotides) under Schileykula scyphus lycaonica. RNAcentral describes it as "partial 16S ribosomal RNA". The stretch from base 352 to 599 matches the Rfam family "Archaeal large subunit ribosomal RNA", at positions 1784 to 2143 of the family's 2987-position model. Lineage: Eukaryota; Metazoa; Mollusca; Gastropoda; Stylommatophora; Orculidae. The record is from RNAcentral.
UAUUCCUUUGAAAGAUUAUUAUUUCCCGAUAAAAAAAGAUCUAUUCUUAAUCUAGUAAUUAGCUUUUACUUUCAAUGUUGAACUAUUGAUUGGAAAUUUUAGUAUAGAGGUGAAACGCCUUCAAUUUUUUUGAUAUCUGGAUUUAACCUAAAUGAAUUUAGUUCUUAAAUUAGCCAAAGAGUUAUAAGAUUCUUUGGAAUUAGAAUUAUAGUCACUAUAAUCAAACGGAAUAAUUUCUUCCUUUUUAAUAAUUUAGUCGUAUAUAUUUCUGCUUUUAUCUAUAUAAUAGGUUAAUACUAACCCUAUUCUAUGUUUUUGAUUAGUUAAUAAUGUUUAAAUUAGUAUUUCUGAUUUGAGAAAUCAAAAAAAGGAACUCGGCAAAAAUUACUCCUCAACUGUUUACCAAAAACAUAGCUUGGAGUAAGUUUUGUUCUAAGUGAUACCUGCCCAGUGAAAAGUUUUAACGGCCGCAGUACACUGACUGUGCUAAGGUAGCAUAAUAAAUUGGCUUUUAAUUGAAGUCGGGUAUGAAAGGAGUUAUGGGGAGAAUCUGUCUCUUUAUGAUUUUUAAAAGUUACUAAGGAAGUGAAAAUUCUUCCACAAUUUAUGUAAGACGAGAAGACCCUAAGAAUUUUUAUAAAUUGAAAUUGUGCUAGUUUGUAAGUUUUUGUUGGGGCAACAGAUUUGGACAACCAAAUUUUUAAUAAAUUUUAUAAACCAAAUUAUUUUAAAUCAGAUAAAAUUACCUUAGGGAUAACAGCAUAAUUAAAUUUUUAGAUUGUGACCUCGAUGUUGGACUAAGGACUUAAAUAAAUAGCCUUUAUUUGAGCUGGUUCUGUUCGAACUUACACCUUA